UCUGUGCGUAAAGAUGUCAGAGGGUAAGG
Molecule: non-coding RNA, 29 nt
Filed under: Cricetulus griseus (Chinese hamster)
Lineage: Eukaryota; Metazoa; Chordata; Mammalia; Rodentia; Cricetidae
Source: RNAcentral